CGGCUGCGGGGCAGGGCAGCAGCAGGACCCAAUAAAUAGGCCGGAGGGAAGAGUUGUCCUCUUUUAGCAGCUGGCUGAGCCUGGGGCAGAGGUAGGAGCUGGCACCUGCUGUUCAGUGAACCCGUUAGAGCCGGAGCUGCAGGAAGGCUGCUUGCCCUGCAGGACAUGCUGCCGGCGUGCGGAAAGGAAACAGCAAGACGCAGGUGACUGAUGAGAGUGGGGUGCCCGUCCCCCUGCUGACUGUCACUCCUCCAAAGAGGCACGAAAGACCGAGUAUCAAAGAACAACGCAUCUUGCAAGUCGCCUGUGACCGUGCCAGUCAUGAACUGUGGUUGAAACGAGCCAUGCUACACGUCCCUGCACAAAAGCCGAAUCUUAUCCACUUGAUACUGGUGCACGGGAGCAAGCCUGGGAAGUGGGACUUUAUUCACUGUCUUCGGGAUGAUGACUUCAGCAAUGAAGAAUAUGAAAUAAAUCAGCGGAAUGAACAAUAUAGUGACAACUUGUCAGGUUUAUACUAGCAACUUUCUACUCUUUGGAAAUAUCUAAAUAGGACUGGACGUUUAUAUGAAAUAUGGACAGAUGUGUGGUUCCAUUAGACAGGGUAAAUGCAUACAGGAUAUAAACUCUCUUCCUUUCUGUCAGUGCAUCCCACCGCCCGAGGUUAAAAACAGCCUUACUGAAUAAUUUCCCGUUAUGAGGUUUGGAAUAUGGGCCUCUCUUGGAGACAAGAUGCUGGGUGAGACGGAUGAUUAGUUAGAUCUG
RNAcentral lists this long non-coding RNA (765 nucleotides) under Struthio camelus australis. Its description in RNAcentral is "lncRNA (ENSSCUG00000016385.1)". Lineage: Eukaryota; Metazoa; Chordata; Aves; Struthioniformes; Struthionidae. The record is from RNAcentral.